AUCUCGAAGUUUCUUGCCCACAAAAGCCGAACGGUGACGCCCCAGACUCGGUUUCUUGGUUCCGUCCCAAAACGCCGAAGAAAGGCACAAUGGCCUAGAAAGGGAAGGUCGGACUUGGAACGGGGUCCGAGGCCUCGAAAGUCAACAUCUAGCUACUGGGUGGUCCGAUUCUGAGUGAUCUCGAAGUUUCUUGCCCACAAAAGCCGAACGGUGACGCCCCAGACUCGGUUUCUUGGUUCCGUCCCAAAACGCCGAAGAAAGGCACAAUGGCCUAGAAAGGGACGGUCGGACUUGGAACGGGGUCCGAGGCCUCGAAAGUCCACAUCUAGCUACUGGGUGGUCCGAUUCUUUGUGAUCUCGAAGUUUCUUGCCCACAAAAGCCGAACGGUGACGCCCCAGACUCGGUUUCUUGGUUCCGUCCCAAAACGCCGAAGAAAGGCACAAUGGCCUAGAAAGGGACGGUCGGACUUGGAACGGGGUUCGAGGCCUCGAAAGUCCACAUCUAGCUACUGGGUGGUCCGAUUCUUUGUGAUCUCGAAGUUUCUUGCCCACAAAAGCCGAACGGUGACGCCCCAGACUCGGUUUCUUGGUUCCGUCCCAAAACGCCGAAGAAAGGCACAAUGGCCUAGAAAGGGACGGUCGGACUUGGAACGGGGUCCGAGGCCUCGAAAGUCCACAUCUAGCUACUGGGUGGUUCGAUUCUGAGUGAUCUCGAAGUUUCUUGCCCACAAAAGCCGAACGGUGACGCCCCAGACUCGGUUUCUUGGUUCCGUCCCAAAACGCCGAAGAAAGGCACAAUGGCCUAGAAGAAAGGACGGUCGUACUUGGAACGGGGUCCGAGGCCUCGAAAGUCCACAUCUAGCGACUGGGUGGUUCGAUUCUGAGUGAUCUCGAAGUUUCUUGCCCACAAAAGCCGAACGGUGACGCCCCAGACUCGGUUUCUUGGUUCCGUCCCAAAACGCCGAAGAAAGGCAAAAUGGCCUAGAAAGGGACGGUCGGACUCGAAACGGGGUCCGAGGCCUCGAAAGUCCACAUCUAGCGACUGGGUGGUCCGAUUCUGAGUGAUCUCGAAGUUUCUUGCCCACAAAAGCAGAACGGUGACGCCCUAGACUCGGUUUCUUGGUUCCGUCCCAAAACGCCAAAGAAAGGCACAAUGACCAAGAAAGGGAUGGUCGGACUUGGAACGGGGUCUGAGGCCUCGAAAGUCCACAUCUAGCUACUGGGUGGUCCGAUUCUUUGUGAUCUCGAAGUUUCUUGCCCACAAAAGCCGAACGGUGACGCCCCAGACUCGGUUUCUUGGUUCCGUCCCAAACAGCCGAAGAAAGGCACAAUGGCCUAGAAAGGGACAGUCGGACUCGAAACGGGGUCCGAGGCCUCGAAAGACCACAUCUAGCUACUGGGUGGUCCGAUUUUGAGUGAUCUCGAAGUUGCUUGCCCACAAAAGCCGAACGGUGACGCCCCAGACUCGGUUUCUUGGUUUUGUCCCAAAACGCCAAAGAAAGGCACAAUGGCCUAGAAACGGACGGUCGAACUUGGAACGGGGUCUGAGGCCUCGAAAGUCCACAUCUAGCUACUGGGUGGUCCGAUUCUGAGUGACCUCGAAGUUUCUUGCCCACAAAAGCCGAACGGUGACGCCCCAGACUCGGUUUCUUGGUUCCGUCCCAAAACGCCGAAGAAAGGCACAAUGGCCUAGAAAGGGACGGUCGAACUUGGAAUGGGGUCCGAGGCCUCGAAAGUCCACAUCUAGCUACUGGGUGGUCCGAUUCUUUGUGAUCUCGAAGUUUCUUACCCACAAAAGCCUAACGGUGACGCCCCAGACUCGGUUUCUUGGUUCCGUCCCAAAACGCC
Molecule: long non-coding RNA, 1848 nt
Filed under: Cucumis sativus (cucumber)
Lineage: Eukaryota; Viridiplantae; Streptophyta; Magnoliopsida; Cucurbitales; Cucurbitaceae
Description: long non-coding RNA (CSAT_LNC000179)
Source: RNAcentral